UUGGUAUGUCAGUUCGGAUUCAAACCGUCAGUAUAAAAAUAGGAAUAGGGAUGGAUUAACAAUCAGAUUACGGUAUAACAUCGCAAGCUAUCGACAAAUGCAGCUCAUUCAAUAAUGUGCCUACCAUACUAGAGUUACUUAAAUUUUUUCUGUACGAAUAUAUUUGUGGAAUACAUUAUUUUUUUCUCAAUGUAUACAAAAUAAGGAAAGGAAUGUAAAAACGUAUAUCAAAUACUAAUCUAGCGUUGUUACGGUAUCGUUAGGGUUUUGCAAUUGGGACAACUUUAAUCUA
Molecule: non-coding RNA, 292 nt
Organism: Schizosaccharomyces pombe (fission yeast)
Lineage: Eukaryota; Fungi; Ascomycota; Schizosaccharomycetes; Schizosaccharomycetales; Schizosaccharomycetaceae
Source: the annotation of a GenBank genome assembly